This is a non-coding RNA of Acanthosepion pharaonis, 111 nucleotides long. Lineage: Eukaryota; Metazoa; Mollusca; Cephalopoda; Sepiida; Sepiidae. The record is from the annotation of a GenBank genome assembly.
AUGGCCAUAUAGUGUUAAAAUACCAGUUCCCAUACAACCACCAAAGUUAAGCAACAUUGUGCCUGGCCAGUACUUAGCUGGAUGACUGUUUGGGAAUACGAGGUGCUGUAA